This 492-nucleotide ribosomal RNA is filed under the name uncultured bacterium. RNAcentral describes it as "partial 16S ribosomal RNA". It matches the Rfam family "Bacterial small subunit ribosomal RNA", at positions 29 to 507 of the family's 1533-position model. The record is from RNAcentral.
AGUGAACGCUGGCGGUAGGCCUAACACAUGCAAGUCGAACGGCAGCACAGUAAGAACUUGCUCUUACGGGUGGCGAGUGGCGGACGGGUGAGGAAUACAUCGGAAUCUACUUUUUCGUGGGGGAUAACGUGGGGAAACUUACGCUAAUACCGCAUACGACCUACGGGUGAAAGCAGGGGAUCUUCGGACCUUGCGCGAUUGAAUGAGCCGAUGUCGGAUUAGCUAGUUGGCGGGGUAAAGGCCCACCAAGGCGACGAUCCGUAGCUGGUCUGAGAGGAUGAUCAGCCACACUGGAACUGAGACACGGUCCAGACUCCUACGGGAGGCAGCAGUGGGGAAUAUUGGACAAUGGGCGCAAGCCUGAUCCAGCCAUACCGCGUGGGUGAAGAAGGCCUUCGGGUUGUAAAGCCCUUUUGUUGGGAAAGAAAAGCAGCAGGUUAAUACCCCGCUGUUCUGACGGUACCCAAAGAAUAAGCACCGGCUAACUUCGUG